UCGCGCCACUUUGGUUCAGAAUUUCGUCGCUACGUUCGAAUUGUCAUGACAACGAAAUGGGAUUUGGGAAUCUGGAGUCUGGACGUAAACAUUAAAAUGGCUGCCUCCUUGAACAACGUGGUGGUUGUCUUCGCGUCUGCGCAAGUUUUGCUUAAAAUAAUGGAAAGAUUUUGUACCACCAUGUUUUGUACCGUUUUGUACACUCCCUGUGAGCACCAGCAACGAAUUGUUGGUGCUUGAAGCAAAACUCCUCCUGGAGUUAUCCGUUCAUGAGUCUCUGAGUUAUUGGGCUUGGAAACCAGUUGUAAUAAAGUGGAUGUAUUCUAUUGGAAAUACAAAGACAAUAUUGCUACUGAUCGCCACUGUUAUUAUUGUGGUAGGAGUUAGAAAGGAGUCGUCAUACACAUUAUUUCAAUGGCUGCUAAUAAGUUCCUCUCCUUGCAUGUGCUGGAGAUGGUGGAUCCUUCAAUUAUUCAACUUUCAAUAAUCAAAUGGAGAAAUGCUUUGUUUAAGAACAAUGAAAGUCCCUGGUCAUGAGGUCCGGAUUCGUGCACUAGCUUUUACUGUUUAAUUAUUGAAUAGCUCUUAAUGUUAUUAUGACUAUGAAAAGGAAUACCUUCGCGUUCCGUUGAUGGAGUGCACCAAUCCGGAAACGAAUCAAUUUGGAUUCUGCUGCCUAGACCCCCUUUGUGAAGACCCAUGGCCUCCUGGUACGCCCAUGCUAAGAAUGAUAAACAAAGUUCCAGCACCUUCAGGUCCGGCUCAUGUGAAUUGCCCUACCGUGUCGACAUCCAAAUACGUCCGAGGUCGUCCGCCCACCAGCGGUUUCUACAGCUUUCUACCUUUAACAACAUUGCAGCAAAUGGCAAUCGUCCAACUGUUACAACCACAGUUGCCGUGUCUUCAAGAAGCCACGGAAGACCAUCAGUGUCUUCUAUAGAAGCCGGAGCUUCGUCAUUCCACAAAACAUCACAAGCCCAGCAGCCAUAUAAAAAUUACCUUCCACAGGUCUACUACUGUUUAAACACAGCGACCGGUCAUUAAUCAUUAACCUGCAACCGGCUUCUCUCAUCCUCCCACUCCGGCUUAUCAACCAACUUCAGCACCAACACAGAGACCUAUUCAACAGGCUCUUUUGGUCCAGCAACCUUCUCGUCCGUUCUACCUACCACCUUCUCCUCCUGCGUCACAAGGUUCUCAGACUGAGAAACAGACUAACAUUGUUCAAGGUCCUCCAACAUUUACCGGUUGCACUGCCGCCCUAAAAUGCGUCACGGAAGAAUUCUGAAAUGUCGAUGGUGUCGUGGUUAGCACUCAUGUGAGAUUAUCUCCUUACGAGAAGGAAUACCUUCGCGUUCCAUUGAUGUGUACGAAUCCAGAAACUAAUCAAGUUGGUUUCUGUUGCCGCGAUUCUUUUAUGAAGACCAUUGACCAGCUGGUAUCCCGAUGCUUGGAACGAUGAACAAAGUGCAAACAAGUCCGGCUUUAUCGGUGAAUCGAGCUGUAUUCUCAGCAUUUGCUUAUGCCGUUUUGAAAUCCAACAACGUCUGGUCACCAGUUUCGCCAUUUAACUACUUUGUAGCAAACGACAAUGGCCCAAUUGUUACAGUCACAGCAUCCGUUCGGUCGCAGACCGAUCGCCCAUCAAUCCGCUGUUAAUGAACCGAUCGCUUUUCCUGCUUACCAAUUACCAUCGCAAUCCUAUCUACCACCACCUGCACAAAAACCUACCACGGCUCGUCAAGUGACUCCGGCCCAGCAACCUGCCCGCCCUGCACACCUAGCUGUUAACAAGCUUUAUCUGCUUUUCAACCUCAAUAACAAGCAUCUCAGAGCCAGGAGACAAAUUGUAGCAGGUCCUUCAGUUCCGUCUCAUGCUGAAUAAACGGAGGAAUUCAGUAGUGUUGAUGGCGUUGGUAAACACACCUCUUUGGCUUUCGAGAAGGAAUAUCUUCGUGUCCCCUUGAUGCCUUGUUUGAACACGGAAAACAAUCAAGAAGGAUUUUUUUUUGCAGGUCCAUUGUUUAACGACCCAUGGCCUGCUGGUUGCCUAUGCCAUAAUAACAUCCUCCAUGCUGACGAAUUCGGAUCGGACAAAAUCAUAUCACAUAUUUGCUUUUGUGUUCGAGUUUUUUUUUGUUGUUAUUUUUAACUAUUUGUGGACUACAUUCAACCUCAAUUUUGGUAUGAUAGCAAUUCUGUAACUGUAGUCUUGUCACACACAUACCCUGUAUUUACCUGUUCCCCGUCAUCAGUGGCGGCAGCCCGCGCUUGUGUGGCCACGUUUACAUCGACGUCCAGACGACCAGGACGACCAAUUUGAUCACGUUUCACGCAAUCGAGCUCACCAUCAUCGACGUUAGCGUGCGGAGUGUCGGGAACGAAACGGCCGCUUUCAAUCCGGCCAUCGACGACCGAUUUCUCCAGCUGGAGGAUCUCUGCUUCUCGGGUCUUUUCGUUCAAACCUCCAAGGAAUUUCAGACGAUCCAGGAGGAGCCGGAGCGGGA
This 2507-nucleotide long non-coding RNA is filed under the name Daphnia pulicaria. RNAcentral describes it as "uncharacterized LOC124314942". The record is from RNAcentral. Lineage: Eukaryota; Metazoa; Arthropoda; Branchiopoda; Diplostraca; Daphniidae.